Molecule: ribosomal RNA, 439 nt
Filed under: uncultured bacterium
Lineage: Bacteria
Description: partial 16S ribosomal RNA
Rfam family: Bacterial small subunit ribosomal RNA
Source: RNAcentral
CUACGGGUCGCAGCAGUGAGGAAUAUUGCACAAUGGGGGGAACCCUGAUGCAGCAACGCCGCGUGGAGGAUGACGCAUUUCGGUGUGUAAACUCCUUUUAUAUGUCAAGAAAAUGACGGUAGCAUAUGAAUAAGCACCGGCUAACUCCGUGCCAGCAGCCGCGGUAAUACGGAGGGUGCAAGCGUUACUCGGAAUCACUGGGCGUAAAGGACGCGUAGGCGGGUUGGAAAGUCAGGUGUGAAAUCCUACAGCUUAACUGUAGAACUGCACUUGAACCUUCUAAUCUAGAGUAUGGGAGGGGGAGAUGGAAUUAGCGGUGUAGGGGUAAAAUCCGUAGAUAUCACUAGGAAUACCUAAAGCGAAGGCGAUCUCCUGGAACAUUACUGACGCUAAGGCGUGAAAGCGUGGGGAGCAAACAGGAUUAGAUACCCCCGUAGUC